GGUGUAGCGCCGGAUGAACGGAUAACUCUGAUGACGUUAAUUAAGGAGUCUUUACUCCCUACACCU
Molecule: transfer RNA, 66 nt
Filed under: Amynthas sp. CS029
Lineage: Eukaryota; Metazoa; Annelida; Clitellata; Crassiclitellata; Megascolecidae
Description: tRNA-Ile
Source: RNAcentral